This 480-nucleotide ribosomal RNA is filed under the name uncultured bacterium. RNAcentral's name for it is "bacterial SSU rRNA". It matches the Rfam family "Bacterial small subunit ribosomal RNA", at positions 34 to 504 of the family's 1533-position model. The record is from RNAcentral.
CGCUGGCGGCGUGCUUAACACAUGCAAGUCGAACGGAAAGGCCCCCACCUUGGUGGGGGUGCUCGAGUGGCGAACGGGUGAGUAACACGUGGGUGAUCUGCCCUGUACUUCGGGAUAAGCUUGGGAAACUGGGUCUAAUACCGGAUAGGACCAUGGUUUAGUGUCUCAUGGUGGAAAGAUUAUUGUUUUGGUGCAGGAUGAGCUCGCGGCCUAUCAGCUUGUUGGUGGGGUAAUGGCCUACCAAGGCGUCGACGGGUAGCCGGCCUGAGAGGGUGGACGGCCACAUUGGGACUGAGAUACGGCCCAGACUCCUACGGGAGGCAGCAGUGGGGAAUAUUGCACAAUGGGCGCAAGCCUGAUGCAGCGACGCCGCGUGGGGGAUGACGGCCUUCGGGUUGUAAACUCCUUUCGUUAGGGACGAAGCCACACCUUUUUUGGGUGUGGUGACGGUACCUUUGUUAAGAAGCACCGGCUAACUAC